CCGCCUGCCCUGUGACAAUGUUUAACGGCCGCGGUAUUAUGACCGUGCGAAGGUAGCGUAAUCACUUGUCUUUUAAUUGAAGACCUGUAUGAAAGGCAUCACGAGAAUUUACCUGUCUCUAUUUUCUAAUCAAUGAAAUUGAUUUCCCCGUGCAGAAGCGGGGAUAUAAACAUUAGACGAGAAGACCCUAUGGAGCUUUAAACACUUAAGUUAUUACCUUAUUUAUCAACAAAUCUAAAGACUUAACCUACUAUAAUAGUAGUCUAACUUAAUGUUUUCGGUUGGGGCGACCAAGGAGUAAAAGAAAACCUCCUUAUCGAUUGAGUAUCUUUACUUAAAAAUCAGAACGACAGUUCUGAUAAAUAGAAUAUCUAACGAAUUAUGACCCAGGACUAUCGUCCUGAUCAAUGAACCAAGUUACCCUAGGGAUAACAGCGCAAUCCUUUCUAAGAGUCCAUAUCGCCGAAAGGGUUUACGACCUCGAUGUUGGAUCAGGACAUCCUAAUGGUGCAACCGCUAUUAAGGGUUCGUUUGUUCAACGAUUAACAGUCCUACGUGAUCUGAGUUC
RNAcentral lists this ribosomal RNA (568 nucleotides) under Raja miraletus (brown ray). RNAcentral's name for it is "partial 16S ribosomal RNA". It matches the Rfam family "Bacterial large subunit ribosomal RNA", at positions 1854 to 2612 of the family's 2925-position model. The record is from RNAcentral. Lineage: Eukaryota; Metazoa; Chordata; Chondrichthyes; Rajiformes; Rajidae.